GCGCCGUAGCUAACGCAUUAAGUGCCCCGCCUGGGGAGUACGGCCGCAAGGCUAAAACUCAAAGGAAUUGACGGGGGCCCGCACAAGCGGCGGAGCAUGCGGAUUAAUUCGAUGCAACGCGAAGAACCUUACCAAGGCUUGACAUGGGCCGGAUCGCCGCAGAAAUGCGGUUUCCCUUCGGGGCCGGUUCACAGGUGGUGCAUGGUUGUCGUCAGCUCGUGUCGUGAGAUGUUGGGUUAAGUCCCGCAACGAGCGCAACCCUCGUUCUAUGUUGCCAGCGGUUCGGCCGGGGACUCAUAGGAGACUGCCGGGGUCAACUCGGAGGAAGGUGGGGACGACGUCAAAUCAUCAUGCCCCUUAUGUCUUGGGCUUCACGCAUGCUACAAUGGCCGGUACAAAGGGUUGCGAUACUGUGAGGUGGAGCUAAUCCCAAAAAGCCGGUCUCAGUUCGGAUUGAGGUCUGCAACUCGACCUCAUGAAGUCGGAGUCGCUAGUAAUCGCAGAUCAGCAACGCUGCGGUGAAUACGUUCCCGGGCCUUGUACACACCGCCCGUCAAGUCACGAAAGUUGGUAACACCCGAAGCCGGUGGCCUAACCCUUUGGGAGGGAGCCGUCGAAGGUGGACCGCGAGUUCC
RNAcentral lists this ribosomal RNA (635 nucleotides) under Micrococcales bacterium. RNAcentral describes it as "bacterial SSU rRNA". It matches the Rfam family "Bacterial small subunit ribosomal RNA", at positions 843 to 1477 of the family's 1533-position model. The record is from RNAcentral. Lineage: Bacteria; Bacillati; Actinomycetota; Actinomycetes; Micrococcales.